CAGGAAACAGAUUCUGAGACUCAGAUUUAUGUACAGAACAGGGAAUGAAGGAGAUCGAAUUGGGCAAAGGAGAAAGAACAAAUGACAUUGCAUCUGUGAAAUGCAUUAUGGUUUUCAGCAGAGACAGUCCAGAGUGAAUCAAUGGUAACUUCUGCCACUUGUUACUCAUCUGUUGCCAAGGAGGAGACUCCGGAGAGGUUAGGAAACUAUGUGGCAUGUUCCGUCCUUCCGGGUUAUGAAUGCUGCCAAGUGAAAAUGUGGGAUGUGCUGCCAAAGACAACACAGUCUUUUAUUUGACACAGAAGAAAACAACAUUCUGAUUUCCCUGUCUUAGGAAUUAUUUCAUCUACAGUCUGGCAAGGCAUGCUUAUGGAACUCACGGCAACCUGCUCCAGGGAGAAGUGCUCAUCAUGGGGAGACACCUGGAUCCAUCCUCACUCCUGGAGGGCUGGCCUGAAUAAGAGUAAUUCUCCCAGAGCUCUGAGGGAGCCAGGCACACAGCCAAUGGGCAAAACCUUCAAGGACAGCGAUUUUCACUCAGCCCCUUGGUGGGCAGUGGGGUCUUAGACUUAGUGAAGGAACACAGACCUUGGAGUUUCUCUGUGUUUGUAUCUCAUUCUAACGCUUACUGUGUGCCUUGUGGAAGCCACAGGAUGUUUCUGACUCCCAGUUUUCUUGUCCACAGAAAGGAGGGGAAGAUUGAGCUAAGUAG
Molecule: long non-coding RNA, 712 nt
Filed under: Rhinopithecus bieti (black snub-nosed monkey)
Lineage: Eukaryota; Metazoa; Chordata; Mammalia; Primates; Cercopithecidae
Description: lncRNA (ENSRBIG00000045458.1)
Source: RNAcentral